Protopterus annectens (West African lungfish) is the source of this 736-nucleotide long non-coding RNA. RefSeq lists it as uncharacterized. Lineage: Eukaryota; Metazoa; Chordata; Ceratodontiformes; Protopteridae. The transcript is spliced from 3 exons. The record is from RefSeq and is a predicted model, not a curated record.
UAUGGGUUGCCUGGGUCAUACUCAAGGCUUUAUUCCUCUUUUGCCAGUGAGCUGACUUAUAUUGUGAAGCAGAGACUUAAUUAUAAAGCGAGUUAAGAUUUGACCCUCACCUUUAGUGGCUUGAUGUUGGAUAUCUCAAGUGAUUUGACCCAGACUCAUCAGGUUCUAGGACAGCAGCUGUUGUCACUGAGCAAUUCAUUGUGACUUCUGCCUUAAAACCUCCUUUAAUGGGAAGAGCAGAACCAUGUUGUCAUCUUGGCUAUCAAUCCUAAGCAGAAGAAUGCUAAUGGGAAUUCCAGGAUUAAAUAGGAAACACAAGGCCUGAAAACAUCAGCUAAUGCUUCAAAAGGACUCUCCCUUCACCCCACCCUUAAAAUUGACAUGGUGCAUAGAUAACUUCAGCAUGCAACAGACGCUUUGAAGAGAGGGAGAAAAUUGGUGGCAGUAACUGUGGAUGGAUCACUUGCAUGAAGAUCAGCAAACGUGUCCAUUCUAUUUAGUUUGUUUAAUUUCUUUAAGUUCUUUCUUUACUAGUCUUACAGAUUACAUAGAAGUAAGUCAUUGUUGAAUUUUAACAAAAUGGCCGGCCAAAAUGUAUGCAUAAGUUAAUGAUUUGCUAGCUUCUGAGUAAAAUUUACUUUUAGAAUGGUGUAACUUUAAUAAUUAGGUAUGGUUCUAUGUGAUGGAUAGGAUCAUGUUACAAUGUAAUGAUCAUUUCAGUGAAUAAAUAAUCUUU